This 254-nucleotide ribosomal RNA is filed under the name uncultured bacterium. RNAcentral's name for it is "partial 16S ribosomal RNA". It matches the Rfam family "Bacterial small subunit ribosomal RNA", at positions 524 to 776 of the family's 1533-position model. The record is from RNAcentral.
UACGUAGGGGCCAAGCGUUGUCCGGAUUUAUUGGGCGUAAAGAGCUCGUAGGCGGUUCGGCAAGUCAGCUGUGAAAUCUCCACGCUCAACGUGGAGGGGUCAGCUGAUACUGCUGUGACUCGAGUCCGGUAGGGGAGUGUGGAAUUCCCGGUGUAGCGGUGAAAUGCGCAGAUAUCGGGAGGAACACCAGUAGCGAAGGCGGCACUCUGGGCCGGUACCGACGCUGAGGAGCGAAAGCGUGGGGAGCAAACAGG